GACCGCGCAAACGACGAAAACGCGGCUUGAACCGCGUCGAAGGAUCUUGUACAUGGUACGAAAGUUGGAUUCGCUUCGGGGCAGGCGUUCCUCGAUUUCGAUUCACCUGGUGCCGCGAUAUUGGCUCGAUCCCGUGUCGGUUAUGCUCAACAAUCGCUCCCCGACUUUGCCGCUGUCGCCUGUCGACUUCAUGAGAUACUUUGGCGCCGACACGAUCUGAAAGAAGAAAAGUUAAACGAAAUUAAUAGACUUUGAAUACGUAAAGUACGUAAAAUAUGUUAAAAUAUACGAUCUUGCGAACAUGUGUUUAACGACUUCAGUUUAAAAUCAACUUUUUCUUCGAAAAAGUACACGAAUCUAAAAGUUAGGUUAGAAUUUUAUUUCGAAACAUUCUUUCGUGAAAAAUCUAUCGAUAAAUAUCGAUUACAGACGAUUUAUCGGACACGUUCGCCCCGAUAUAUUAUUGCGAAUAUCGAGACUCGAAAAGCGAGAUCGAAAUAGUAUCGAAUAAAAGAAGAGGACGAGAGGUACGAUUAAAAAAAGAGUGAACCAUUCAGAUGACCAGAACACCAUUUGAAAAAUUCGAAGAAUGAAAAUUAUUGUUGGGAAGAUAGAGAAGGAUUGGAGAAGUCGUAAAAAUUUGAAGAACACGUGUAUCCAAAUUGAAAUGAGCGAGAGGAAAUUGAGGACGAGGAAGGAGCGAUCCAAUUCCGAUGAGAACAAUAAAUACGACCUGGUGAACCAGAGACACGGUUUCCCAGAAACCUUCUGUCUCUCGACGUAAGGUCGGUUCGCACGCGAUAAUCGAUCGUACCUGUCACCACCGACCCUGGCUGAAGAACGAGCCGCGAUUUACACAUUGAAAACUUGAAUAUCGAUUUACCUUUCGUUUCAGUUAUAUUGAAAUUGCAAUCGUUAGAAGACGGAUAAUGACAGAUAAAUAAAUUCGCGAUCCAUUUUCUUCUCAUAUUUUCGUACAUCUAUUUUUUUCUUUUAUAAAUCUAAUAAUUACUUAGCAAACGAAUACAUUAUUAUUGUAUUAAAUUGA
This is a long non-coding RNA of Apis mellifera (honey bee), 1048 nucleotides long. RefSeq lists it as uncharacterized. The transcript is spliced from 3 exons. Lineage: Eukaryota; Metazoa; Arthropoda; Insecta; Hymenoptera; Apidae. The record is from RefSeq and is a predicted model, not a curated record.